UCAAUAAAUUCUAAUAUAGAAAGCAAUAUAUGUGGUAUGGAAAUACUUGAAUGAUAUAAAAUUAAUUGCUUGUGAAUUUCUUUGCUUUUGUUUUUUGUGGUGAUAAUUAAACAGUAUAGAGCUGAGUCAUACAAAAGAUUUGUGACGAAGAAUUAUGUUAUCUAGUUCUUAAUGUUUUCAUUUUCAAUUAUGCUAGGUACAUAGAUUUGAAGGUACGCACAACACGAUUACCUAAAGAAGGAUAUUGCUCAAAUGUUACAGCCUAGCUCGCACGCUUGCAGAAUCCUCUAGAUAGGUUGUGAAGUGUAAAAAUUGAUGCUCGCACAUCAAGAAAAGAGCUUUUCAAGCAGAAUCAAAAUAUUGGAAUGAACAUACCUCAAGUGAAUCAAGAUGUUUGAAAGCAUCAAUAAAGUAAAGCAAAACUGAAACCCAAUAAUAAAUGAGUUUUAUUUUUUUCGCUAAUUCAUGAACAAAUUCUAAGAAAAUUUAGGGCUUCUUGUCAUUGAAGUGGUACCUUUAACCAACUCAAAUCCCAUGAAACACUACCAACUUCCGUAAUUCGAUAAAACAUUGAGCACAAAUUGCAAAAUUAAUAAGCACAAACAAAAAGCACUAGAUCUAGCACCUUGAAUUUUUCUACAGAACAAGUGUAUCUAAAAAAAACUCUUUUCAGUUUGGUAGGAGGAGACGCUGCACCAAGGUGGCAAUUGUCGCUGCUGAAGUGGAAGUUGCCACCGCUGCUAACCCUGAAAUUUUGGAAAACAUCACUCCAUAACCAAAUUUUGAAGAUAUCUUGAAAAUGAAAAUCAAAUCUACAAAAGAAGUUUUCAGAUCUAAAAACAAAGAUAAAACCAAAGACAAAAUGAAUGUUCUAGAAUGAGAAAAAGCGAAAGGAACACUUAUUCUCUUUUAAUCA
Molecule: long non-coding RNA, 916 nt
Filed under: Olea europaea subsp. europaea
Lineage: Eukaryota; Viridiplantae; Streptophyta; Magnoliopsida; Lamiales; Oleaceae
Source: RNAcentral